UUAAAUUGAAGAGUUUGAUCAUGGCUCAGAUUGAACGCUGGCGGCAGGCCUAACACAUGCAAGUCGAACGGUAGCGGGAAGAAGCUUGCUUCUUUGCCGACGAGUG
RNAcentral lists this ribosomal RNA (106 nucleotides) under Erwinia psidii. RNAcentral describes it as "partial 16S ribosomal RNA". It matches the Rfam family "Bacterial small subunit ribosomal RNA", at positions 1 to 108 of the family's 1533-position model. The record is from RNAcentral. Lineage: Bacteria; Pseudomonadati; Pseudomonadota; Gammaproteobacteria; Enterobacterales; Erwiniaceae.